GCCCCAAGAGACAGCUAGAGCAUGAGACUCUUAAUCUCAGGGCUGUGGGUUCGAGCCCCGCAUGGGGCA
Non-coding RNA from Podarcis lilfordi (Lilford's wall lizard), 69 nucleotides. The record is from the annotation of a GenBank genome assembly. Lineage: Eukaryota; Metazoa; Chordata; Lepidosauria; Squamata; Lacertidae.